Molecule: ribosomal RNA, 313 nt
Filed under: uncultured eukaryote
Lineage: Eukaryota
Description: partial large subunit ribosomal RNA
Rfam family: Eukaryotic large subunit ribosomal RNA
Source: RNAcentral
AUAUAAGUAAGCGGAGGAAAAGAAACUAAACAGGAUUCCCUCAGUAAUGGCGAAUGAACAGGGAUGAGCUCAACGUGUAAAUCAGAGCCUUCGCGGGCUUUGAAUUGUAGUCUCAAGACGCAUUGCCAGCGCGGGCGCAAGUGAAAGCCUCUUGGAAAAGAGCAUCAUCGAGGGUGAGAAUCCCGCUUGUCAUUUGCAGUCCUGGGCGGACGGCGUGCGAUCAACGAGUCACGUUCCUCGGGAUUGGAGCGCAAAGGGGUGGUAAAUUUCAUCUCAAGCUAAAAAUGAGUUCGAGACCGAUAGCGCACAAGUA